GCUCAUGCCGUCUAGUUGGUUUGGACAUCUCCCUUUCACGGAGAAGAUCACCGGUUCGAGUCCGGUCGUGAGUA
Molecule: transfer RNA, 74 nt
Filed under: Bacillota bacterium
Lineage: Bacteria; Bacillati; Bacillota
Description: tRNA-Glu
Rfam family: tRNA
About the family: Transfer RNA (tRNA) molecules are approximately 80 nucleotides in length. Their secondary structure includes four short double-helical elements and three loops (D, anti-codon, and T loops).
Source: RNAcentral